This 133-nucleotide ribosomal RNA is filed under the name uncultured bacterium. RNAcentral's name for it is "partial 16S ribosomal RNA". The record is from RNAcentral.
GUAGUUAGCCGUGACUUAUUCCUGGGGUACCGUCCUUCCUCUUCCCCCAGAAAAGGAGUUUACGACCCAAGGGCCUUCAUCCUCCACGCGGCGUUGCUGCAUCAGGGUUGCCCCCAUUGUGCAAUAUUCCUCA